AGGCGGAGCAUGAAUGCACAUUUCUAUUUUGCACAUUGCCCUAUCAAUUCCGAUCAUAUAAAACAGCUGAACCAAAUAGCAAAUCAAUAGCAGACAAAGCGCCACUGGAACGGUGUCGGGUCAGCCUUGUUGAAUUGUUUGGGCUAAAAUAUAAUUCAAACCUAAAAUGGAUCCUUGUGAUUGCUCAAAAACUGGAAGCUGCAGUUGCGGUGGACUCUGCAAGUGUACAAACUGCGAAUGUGCCAAGAAAAGUUGUUGUUCCUGCUGCCCGACUGGAUGCAGCAAGUGCGCCUCUGGUUGUGUGUGCAAGGAGGGCAAGACGUGCGACACAAGCUGCUGUCAGUGAGGGCUUGACACAACACCAUGUCCUCUACCUCAUGACAUUAUCCCUGUUGUACGACAGAGCAUUGUAAUAAAUUGCAGCUCCAAUUUGGAUGUCUUCAAUCAU
This is a non-coding RNA of Oncorhynchus mykiss (rainbow trout), 448 nucleotides long. The record is from RefSeq and is a predicted model, not a curated record. NCBI's taxonomy places the organism in Eukaryota, Metazoa, Chordata, Actinopteri, Salmoniformes, Salmonidae.